CCAUCAGUCAUCGUGCCAGCAGCCGUGGUAAUACGGAGGGUGCAAGCGUUAAUCAGAAUUACUGGGCGUAAAGAGCGCGUAGGUGGUUUUUAAGUCAGGUGUGAAAUCCCUAGGCUCAACCUAGGAACUGCAUUUGAAACUGGAAAACUAGAGUUUCGUAGAGGGAGGUAGAAUUCUAGGUGUAGCGGUGAAAUGCGUAGAUAUCUGGAGGAAUACCCGUGGCGAAAGCGGCCUCCUAAACGAAAACUGACACUGAGGCGCGAAAGCGUGGGGAGCAAACAGGAUUAGAUACCCUGGUAGUCCAUGCCGUAAACGAUGUCGACUUGGAGGUUGUUUCCAAGAGAAGUGACUUCCGAAGCUAACGCAUUAAGUCGACCGCCUGGGGAGUACGGCCGCAAGGCUA
RNAcentral lists this ribosomal RNA (403 nucleotides) under uncultured bacterium. RNAcentral describes it as "bacterial SSU rRNA". It matches the Rfam family "Bacterial small subunit ribosomal RNA", at positions 493 to 896 of the family's 1533-position model. The record is from RNAcentral.